AUGAGACGGAGGGAGUAGUUACUAGUGAAGCGUGUGGUGUGUUAGUAGUCCUUUACCUUUGCAGUUUAGUUAGACGUCGCUGUGAAAUAUGCUCUGCGGUAAGUACUGGUUUGCUUAGUUGUUGUAAUGAAGAACUCAGCCUGUUUUAUCGGUGCCUGUGGCUGUGAUUCCGGCACCCAUUCGCUGACGCUGGCGCCAAGAGCUGGGAAGCUCCAACCUCCGGCGCCAAGAGCUGCAGCAAAACGACGCCGGCACAUCGCCUGACAGAGUACAGUAUAUAUUAUUCUUAUUGCAUAACUGUAUUUCCACAC
This 311-nucleotide long non-coding RNA is filed under the name Triticum aestivum (bread wheat). Its description in RNAcentral is "long non-coding RNA (TAES_LNC026216)". The record is from RNAcentral. Lineage: Eukaryota; Viridiplantae; Streptophyta; Magnoliopsida; Poales; Poaceae.